UACGAAGGGGGCUAGCGUUGUUCGGAAUUACUGGGCGUAAAGCGUGCGCAGGCGGCUGCUCAAGUCAGGGGUGAAAGCCCAGAGCUCAACUCUGGAAUUGCCUUUGAGACUGAGUGGCUUGAGUACGGGAGAGGUGAGUGGAAUUCCCAGUGUAGAGGUGAAAUUCGUAGAUAUUGGGAAGAACACCGGUGGCGAAGGCGGCGACCUGGUCCGAUGACUGACGCUGAGGCGCGAAAGCGUGGGGAGCAAACAGG
RNAcentral lists this ribosomal RNA (254 nucleotides) under uncultured bacterium. Its description in RNAcentral is "partial 16S ribosomal RNA". It matches the Rfam family "Bacterial small subunit ribosomal RNA", at positions 524 to 776 of the family's 1533-position model. The record is from RNAcentral.